UACGUAGGGUGCGAGCGUUGUCCGGAUUUAUUGGGCGUAAAGCGUGCGUAGGCGGCUGCGCAAGUCGGUUGUGAAACCCCGGGGCUCAACCCCGGAACUGCAUCCGAUACUGCGUGGCUAGAGGUAGGUAGGGGAGAUCGGAAUUCCUGGUGUAGCGGUGAAAUGCGCAGAUAUCAGGAGGAACACCGGUGGCGGAGGCGGAUCUCUGGGCCUUACCUGACGCUCAGGCACGAAAGCUAGGGGAGCGAACAGG
Molecule: ribosomal RNA, 253 nt
Filed under: uncultured bacterium
Lineage: Bacteria
Description: partial 16S ribosomal RNA
Rfam family: Bacterial small subunit ribosomal RNA
Source: RNAcentral